Molecule: microRNA precursor, 208 nt
Filed under: Oryza glumipatula
Lineage: Eukaryota; Viridiplantae; Streptophyta; Magnoliopsida; Poales; Poaceae
Description: MIR812 microRNA precursor family
Rfam family: MIR812 microRNA precursor family
Source: Rfam by way of RNAcentral
AAUAAGUGCAGCCGUGGAUAUCCGUACCCAACGUUUGACCGUCCGUCUUAUUUGAAAAUUUUGUGAAAAAUUUAAAAAUAUUUAAUUACACAUAAAGUACUAUUCAUGUUUUAUCAUCUAUUAGUAAUAAAAAUAUUAAUCAUAAAAACUUUUCAAAUAAAACGAAUGGUCAAACGUUGAACGUGAAUAGUGUAAAACUGUACUUAUU